Perognathus longimembris pacificus (Pacific pocket mouse) is the source of this 722-nucleotide long non-coding RNA. RefSeq lists it as uncharacterized. The record is from RefSeq and is a predicted model, not a curated record. The transcript has 2 exons. NCBI's taxonomy places the organism in Eukaryota, Metazoa, Chordata, Mammalia, Rodentia, Heteromyidae.
CUGAGAGGACCCCCAUCCACCCCAGAGCCCACCAUUAUUCAAACCAGGCAGCCCUAGACCUUUUACCCUGGCCUGCCUUGCUUUUCCCUCAGAAACCCCAGCAAGGACUGGCCCCACGCUUUCCCCUGCACCCUGUCUUUUGCCUCUGACUAUCAUGGUCUUUCCCAUGUGGCUUUGUGAGCUGUGCCACGCCUGGCUGUAGAUCUGUGACUACACUCAACUUUGUUUUCCAGAGCCUCUUCUAGCCCCUCCUAUGGACAUCUCAUAAUACAAGAGGGAAGUAUCCAAAUUAAAUGAAGUUAUAUGCACUAAGUACACAGUAUCUAUCACAUGCUCUUACAUGUUGUUACCCCCAGGGAUGAGAACACAACUGUUUAUAUUCUACAGCCCAAACCCUAGUUUCUGGGACCAGACAAGUGUGCAUGAUUACUGUAGAGGGACUGGUGAUCACACUAGUCAUAAGGAGAUUAGUACACUGGUGAGCACAACUCCUUAUUUCCUAGUAACAUCUAACUAGACAACCAGGCAACAGAAAAGCAACUCGCAUACCUUAGAACACUGGAUGCUUUUUAUUUUCAUGAAGAUGCUGCACUGUGGAAUAAUUCUUCAUUAAAAAACGUAUAGUGCUAUGACAGAUACAUCACAGUACUUCCAAUAGAGAAAUAUGGCAUUUUCUAACAUCCCCGUCUGCCUUGGGAUUAACCCAGUUGAGGGCAGGCAGA